RNAcentral lists this ribosomal RNA (765 nucleotides) under uncultured bacterium. Its description in RNAcentral is "bacterial SSU rRNA". It matches the Rfam family "Bacterial small subunit ribosomal RNA", at positions 8 to 762 of the family's 1533-position model. The record is from RNAcentral.
AGAGUUUGAUCAUGGCUCAGAGUGAACGCUGGCGGUAGGCCUAACACAUGCAAGUCGAACGGCAGCACAGGAGAGCUUGCUCUCUGGGUGGCGAGUGGCGGACGGGUGAGGAAUACAUCGGAAUCUACUUUUUCGUGGGGGAUAACGUAGGGAAACUUACGCUAAUACCGCAUACGACCUACGGGUGAAAGCAGGGGAUCUUCGGACCUUGCGCGAUUGAAUGAGCCGAUGUCGGAUUAGCUAGUUGGCGGGGUAAAGGCCCACCAAGGCGACGAUCCGUAGCUGGUCUGAGAGGAUGAUCAGCCACACUGGAACUGAGACACGGUCCAGACUCCUACGGGAGGCAGCAGUGGGGAAUAUUGGACAAUGGGCGCAAGCCUGAUCCAGCCAUACCGCGUGGGUGAAGAAGGCCUUCGGGUUGUAAAGCCCUUUUGUUGGGAAAGAAAUCCAGCUGGUUAAUACCCGGUUGGGAUGACGGUACCCAAAGAAUAAGCACCGGCUAACUUCGUGCCAGCAGCCGCGGUAAUACGAAGGGUGCAAGCGUUACUCGGAAUUACUGGGCGUAAAGCGUGCGUAGGUGGUCGUUUAAGUCCGUUGUGAAAGCCCUGGGCUCAACCUGGGAACUGCAGUGGAUACUGGGCGACUAGAGUGUGGUAGAGGGUAGCGGAAUUCCUGGUGUAGCAGUGAAAUGCGUAGAGAUCAGGAGGAACAUCCAUGGCGAAGGCAGCUACCUGGACCAACACUGACACUGAGGCACGAAAGCGU